Molecule: non-coding RNA, 94 nt
Organism: Mycena capillaripes
Lineage: Eukaryota; Fungi; Basidiomycota; Agaricomycetes; Agaricales; Mycenaceae
Source: the annotation of a GenBank genome assembly
GACCUGAUAGCACAGUUGUUAGUGCGUCUGUUAGUAGUACUAGUGUUGAAAGUAGUGUAAGCAGAAGACUUCGGUUCGAAUCCGGCUCAGGUCA